Long non-coding RNA from Choloepus didactylus (southern two-toed sloth), 2402 nucleotides. RefSeq lists it as uncharacterized. The record is from RefSeq and is a predicted model, not a curated record. The transcript is spliced from 9 exons. Lineage: Eukaryota; Metazoa; Chordata; Mammalia; Pilosa; Megalonychidae.
CAGAGAUAAGAUUAGAGAACUAGAAACCACUGCCCGUCACCCAGUUGCUGUGCCCCACUCUUGGCUUACCUGCCACAACCCCCUUCUUUAGAAAUGACUGAAGAAGCUCUCUCUGGUGGACUUUGUACACCCCACCCUCCCAGUCUGGAAAACCAGCUCAGCAAAACCCAACUGUGUCCUGGGCAAAAUCUCAGCAACUCCUGGCCAGGAGUCUGGAGCUCUCAGGGGUGUUCUCCCUUCCCCUCUCUCAAUGGGAGCAGAUGCUCUUGGGGACGUCCAUAUCCAGCCUGGGUUCAAGUAUCCUGUGGGGUGAAGAGCCCGGAGUUGCUGCAAGAUUACCUUCAUCCCCACAACCGGUCAGCUAAAUCCUCCUGCCUCUCUGCCGCUGAGGGCCCCUCAUCCCUAACUCCGUGACCCCAAGGAACGAGCGCCUAACUCUGGAGAAGAGAAGCUCCAUGAGGACUGAAACUACCUCUACUUUGUUCAUCAGUGUCCCUCCUGACUGUCCCCUUGACCAGCAGUAAGCCUGGAGCAUGGUUUGGACUUAAACAAAGAGUAAACUUGAGCACCUUGUGCCAGCGCCAUCAGACCUAGCUUGAACUGGGAUACCAUGAUUACUUACUGGGGCUCCAUUCUGGACAGAAGGCACCUCCCAUGAAUUUAAGGCAGGUCAGUCCUGGAUUAGCAGUGACCUCAGUCAGGUGGGACUAAGUUGGUGAUCCUGGAUGGGGAGGAUGUUCAGAAGGAGGAAGAGGAUGCAUGGUGGGAAACUGCAAUGUGGCUGGCCCAUCUGCUGGAAGUCAUCUCCCAAGGAACAUGUCCUGUGUCAAAUCCUGGUCCAGAGUCCCUAGUGUCAUGAGCCCACUGGUGCCUAGAAUUCCACCAUUCAACUGGCAAACUUCACCAGUGCCUUUGAACUUAUAUCCUCCUCAAUCCAACUAUUCUUCCCUGGCUGUCAAUGAACUUUGACCUGACCCACAUGUCCUAAUGCUCUUCUGAUCUCACCCACCACCCACCUCCCCCCUCUCAAGGUUAGCUCUGGAACUCUAGGCAGAGAGAGGUCUCUACAGCCCAGAACCAUCUGAGUGUGCCUAGAGAGCUAAGGUCAGGACAGUGUGGGCCCUGGAGAGAAAGGAGAUCUUGCAUAAACACUGCUGGACAGACGAGGGGACUGGGGUGAGAAGGGGAAGGGACUCAAUAGGGUCACUCAGUGGACACAGGGCUCCUGACUCUUAGUCCAUGGCUCCUUUGCUUUUUGCCUGAAGGAGUCCUCCCUGCGGAACAAGCCACAGCCUGGGGACCCCUCUUAGACCGGAGCCUGGCAGGAAGCAGGGUGGGCCCCUUUACCUGUGAACGUCCACGAGCCAGGGUCUGCACAGUUGCCACCGCUGAUCGUAGCUCCCAGCCUGUUAGAUAGCCUGUUGGGGAGGAGCAGGAGGGCUCUCUGGAGAGGGGGCCCUGGUUGAGCUUUCCAGGGCUAGGGAGCCACACCUUGUAGGGCCCUGUCCUCUGGGCGACAAGUGAGGGCUAUAUCCUGCACCAAAGAUGGUGGGCACUUCCAUCCUGGAGAAGAAUUUGGAACUCUUUGAAGCAGAAGAUCAUCAUCACCUGAACAGGUGACCAGCUAGUUCCAGGGAUGCAGACUGGCUGACACAGGCUUCCUCGGACCGUCGGGAAGUCCUGCACAGCACCACACCCAACUGUGUCCUCUGCAUCAAGUCCCACAGGCUUUGCACCAGGAGGAGGAACACAGAGACAGAGUCAGCUCCCUUCUUUCGCAAUUGGUGCCCCGUGUGAGGGGUUCCAGUCCCGACCACAACGUUUGGAAGCUGCACACAUUGUCUGUCACAAAACAGCCCAAUGGAACCCUGGAGCCCACCAUCCUGUUUCCCAGAGGACCAACAAUGCUGCAUUAUAACAACUGUACAAAGAAGAUACCUCCCGAAGCUGACUCCGGUGCGGGUGGAACAGCUUGAGAAGACGCCACGCUCCCUCAAAGAACCCCCACGAUAUCCCUAUGAAUGAGCUUUAUGUCAUUACACCAAAUUGUAAUCAUAAUAAAAAGGGGGGAGAUGUGGAGACACGCAAGUUUCCCUGGCUUGAUAGGUUAUACAGGGAGGCCACCUCCUAAGCAUUGUGUGCCUGAAGGCAGGCACCAGGCUGGGAGAAGGCCAAAGCUUCAUGUGCCUGAAGGCAGGCAAUUUAGAUAAGGGUAAAGUCACUGGGCUCCUUCCAUGCUCCUGUCUCCUGCUCCUGUCUCCUGUCAGGCCCCGAAGAAAUUAUCCCUUGAGAUCAAAGACAUGCAAUCAUGACCUUAUGGCUUCAGAAAAAAUGCACCCUCCCUGAAAAACCUGAAAACAGUCAUGUAGGAAACUACCUUGUAUGCUAUAAAAACCUGUAGG